RNAcentral lists this ribosomal RNA (601 nucleotides) under uncultured Leotiomycetes. RNAcentral describes it as "eukaryotic LSU rRNA". The stretch from base 238 to 391 matches the Rfam family "5.8S ribosomal RNA". Lineage: Eukaryota; Fungi; Ascomycota; Leotiomycetes. The record is from RNAcentral. RNAcentral also lists the same sequence under 1 other name.
CUUGGUCAUUUAGAGGAAGUAAAAGUCGUAACAAGGUCUCCGUAGGUGAACCUGCGGAGGGAUCAUUACCGAGUUCAUGCCCACACGGGUAGAUCUCCCACCCUAUGUUAUCAUUACCUUUGUUGCUUUGGCGGGCCGCCAGGCUUCGGUCAGGCUACCGGCUCCGGCUGGUACGCGCCCGCCAGAGGACCCCAAACUCUGAAUGUUAGUGUCGUCUGAGUACUAUCUAAUAGUUAAAACUUUCAACAACGGAUCUCUUGGUUCUGGCAUCGAUGAAGAACGCAGCGAAAUGCGAUAAGUAAUGUGAAUUGCAGAAUUCAGUGAAUCAUCGAAUCUUUGAACGCACAUUGCGCCCCUUGGCAUUCCGAGGGGCAUGCCUGUUCGAGCGUCAUUACAACCCUCAAGCACUGCUUGGCAUUGGGCUCCGCUGCUAACCCAGCGGGCCUUAAAAUCAGUGGCGGCGCCCUCAGGCUCUGAGCGUAGUAAAUCUCCUCGCUAUAGAGUCCUGGUGGUGGUAGUCAUCAACCCCCAACUUUUCUAAGUUUGACCUCGGAUCAGGUAGGGAUACCCGCUGAACUUAAGCAUAUCAAUAAGCGGAGGA